Molecule: ribosomal RNA, 447 nt
Filed under: uncultured organism
Description: partial 16S ribosomal RNA
Rfam family: Bacterial small subunit ribosomal RNA
Source: RNAcentral
ACACUCCUACGGGAGGCAGCAGUGGGGAAUAUUGGACAAUGGGCGCAAGCCUGAUCCAGCCAUGCCGCGUGAGUGAUGAAGGGCCUAGGGUUGUAAAGCUCUUUCACCGGUGAAGAUAAUGACGGUAACCGGAGAAGAAGCCCCGGCUAACUUCGUGCCAGCAGCCGCGGUAAUACGAAGGGGGCUAGCGUUGUUCGGAUUUACUGGGCGUAAAGCGCACGUAGGCGGACUAUUAAGUCAGGGGUGAAAUCCCGGGGCUCAACCCCGGAACUGCCUUUGAUACUGGUAGUCUUGAGUUCGAGAGAGGUGAGUGGAAUUCCGAGUGUAGAGGUGAAAUUCGUAGAUAUUCGGAGGAACACCAGUGGCGAAGGCGGCUCACUGGCUCGAUACUGACGCUGAGGUGCGAAAGCGUGGGGAGCAAACAGGAUUAGAAACCCGUGUAGUCCC